ACGGUAACAGGUCUUCCGGAUGCUGACGAGUGGGCGGACGGGUGAGUAAUGCGUAGGAAUCUGUCUUUGAGUGGGGGACAACCCAGGGAAACUUGGGCUAAUACCGCAUAAGCCCUGAGGGGGAAAGCGGGGGAUCUUCGGACCUCGCGCUGGAAGAGGAGCCUACGUCUGAUUAGCUAGUUGGUAGGGUAAAGGCCUACCAAGGCGACGAUCGGUAGCUGGUCUGAGAGGACGACCAGCCACACUGGGACUGAGACACGGCCCAGACUCCUACGGGAGGCAGCAGUGGGGAAUUUUUCGCAAUGGGGGCAACCCUGACGAGGCAAUGCCGCGUGAAUGAAGAAGGCCUUCGGGUUGUAAAGUUCUUUCGUGGAGGACGAAAAGGUGGGUGCUAAUACCGCCUGCUGUUGACGUGAAUCCAAGAAGAAGCACCGGCUAACUCCGUGCCAGCAGCCGCGGUAAUACGGGGGGUGCAAGCGUUAAUCGGAAUCACUGGGCGUAAAGGGUGCGUAGGCGGUGCAUUAGGUCUGUCGUGAAAUCCCCGGGCUCAACCUGGGAAUGGCGGUGGAAACCGGUGUACUAGAGUAUGGGAGAGGGUGGUGGGAAUUCC
Molecule: ribosomal RNA, 610 nt
Filed under: uncultured bacterium
Lineage: Bacteria
Description: bacterial SSU rRNA
Rfam family: Bacterial small subunit ribosomal RNA
Source: RNAcentral